RNAcentral lists this ribosomal RNA (255 nucleotides) under uncultured bacterium. RNAcentral's name for it is "partial 16S ribosomal RNA". It matches the Rfam family "Bacterial small subunit ribosomal RNA", at positions 524 to 776 of the family's 1533-position model. The record is from RNAcentral.
UACGAAGGGGGCUAGCGUUGCUCGGAAUGACUGGGCGUAAAGGGCGCGUAGGCGGACAGCUUUGUCAGGCGUGAAAUUCCAGGGCUUAACCUUGGGGCUGCGUUUGAGACGGGUUGUCUUGAGUGGGGAAGAGGGUCGUGGAAUCCCCAGUGUAGAGGUGAAAUUCGUAGAUAUUGGGAAGAACACCGGUGGCGAAGGCGGCGACCUGGUCCUUUUUACUGACGCUGAGGCGCGAAAGCGUGGGGAGCAAACAGG